Molecule: ribosomal RNA, 388 nt
Filed under: uncultured bacterium
Lineage: Bacteria
Description: bacterial SSU rRNA
Rfam family: Bacterial small subunit ribosomal RNA
Source: RNAcentral
GCGAAGAACCUUACCCGGGCUUGAAUUGCAGAGGAAGGAUUUGGAGACAAUGACGCCCUUCGGGGCUUCUGUGAAGGUGCUGCAUGGUUGUCGUCAGCUCGUGCCGUGAGGUGUCGGCUUAAGUGCCAUAACGAGCGCAACCCCUCUCCUUAGUUGCCAUCAGGUCAAGCUGGGCACUCUGGGGACACUGCCACCGUAAGGUGUGAGGAAGGUGGGGAUGACGUCAAAUCAGCACGGCCCUUACGUCCGGGGCUACACACGUGUUACAAUGGCAGGUACAGAGGGAAGGUAAGCCGCAAGGGGGAUCAAAUCCCCAAAGCCCGUCUCAGUUCGGAAUGGGGUCUGCAACCCGACCCCAGAAGCUGGAUUCGCUAGUAAUCGCGCAUCA